UACGUAGGGUGCGAGCGUUAAUCGGAAUUACUGGGCGUAAAGGGCGCGUAGGCGGCCUAGCAAGUCACUUGUGAAAUCUCCGGGCUUAACUCGGAACUGCCAAGUGAAACUGCUGGGCUAGAGUGCAGAAGGGGCAAUCGGAAUUCUUGGUGUAGCGGUGAAAUGCGUAGAUAUCAAGAGGAACACCUGAGGUGAAGACGGGUUGCUGGGCUGACACUGACGCUGAGGCGCGAAAGCCAGGGGAGCAAACGGG
RNAcentral lists this ribosomal RNA (253 nucleotides) under uncultured bacterium. Its description in RNAcentral is "partial 16S ribosomal RNA". It matches the Rfam family "Bacterial small subunit ribosomal RNA", at positions 524 to 776 of the family's 1533-position model. The record is from RNAcentral.